Molecule: ribosomal RNA, 510 nt
Filed under: uncultured bacterium
Lineage: Bacteria
Description: partial 16S ribosomal RNA
Rfam family: Bacterial small subunit ribosomal RNA
Source: RNAcentral
GACGAACGCUGGCGGCGUGCUUAACACAUGCAAGUCGAACGAAGAGCGAUGGAAGCUUGCUUCUAUCAAUCUUAGUGGCGAACGGGUGAGUAACGCGUAAUCAACCUGCCCUUCAGAGGGGGACAACAGUUGGAAACGACUGCUAAUACCGCAUACGAUCUGACCUCGGCAUCGAGGAUAGAUGAAAGGUGGCCUCUACAUGUAAGCUAUCACUGAAGGAGGGGAUUGCGUCUGAUUAGCUAGUUGGAGGGGUAACGGCCCACCAAGGCGAUGAUCAGUAGCCGGUCUGAGAGGAGGAACGGCCACAUUGGGACUGAGACACGGCCCAGACUCCUACGGGAGGCAGCAGUGGGGAAUCUUCCGCAAUGGACGAAAGUCUGACGGAGCAACGCCGCGUGAGUGAUGACGGCCUUCGGGUUGUAAAGCUCUGUUAAUCGGGACGAAAGGCCUUUUUGCGAAUAGUGAGAAGGAUUGACGGUACCGGAAUAGAAAGCCACGGCUAACUACGUG